This 79-nucleotide transfer RNA is filed under the name Peniophora sp. CONT. It matches the Rfam family "tRNA". Rfam says of the family: Transfer RNA (tRNA) molecules are approximately 80 nucleotides in length. The record is from Rfam by way of RNAcentral. Lineage: Eukaryota; Fungi; Basidiomycota; Agaricomycetes; Russulales; Peniophoraceae.
GGCCGCCUGGCGAAAUGGCAUCGCGUCUGACUACGAUCUGGUAAUCAGGAGAUUGCAGGUUCGACCCCUGCGGUGGUCA